GAUCGAGUUGUAAUUUGAAGAAGCGUUUUCUGCGUAUUUGGUCAGCCCAAGUCCUAUUGAAUGAGGCAUCAUGGAGGGUGAUAAUCCCGUCCGGUUGAUCAUUUGCGUUUUACGAUACGCUUUCUAAGAGUCAAGUUGUUUGGGAUUGCAGCUUAAAAUGGGAGGUAAAUUUCUCCUAAGGCUAAAUAACGGCGAGAGACCGAUAGCGAACAAGUACC
This 218-nucleotide ribosomal RNA is filed under the name Rhizophagus intraradices. RNAcentral describes it as "partial 28S ribosomal RNA". It matches the Rfam family "Eukaryotic large subunit ribosomal RNA", at positions 136 to 352 of the family's 3401-position model. Lineage: Eukaryota; Fungi; Glomeromycota; Glomeromycetes; Glomerales; Glomeraceae. The record is from RNAcentral.